GGGCGUAUAGCUCAGCGGGAGAGCACUACGUUGACAUCGUAGGGGUCCCAAGUUCGAUCCUUGGUACGCCCACCA
This 75-nucleotide transfer RNA is filed under the name Mesorhizobium sp. Root552. RNAcentral describes it as "tRNA-Val". It matches the Rfam family "tRNA". From Rfam's summary of the family: Transfer RNA (tRNA) molecules are approximately 80 nucleotides in length. Their secondary structure includes four short double-helical elements and three loops (D, anti-codon, and T loops). Further hydrogen bonds mediate the characteristic L-shaped molecular structure. tRNAs have two regions of fundamental functional importance: the anti-codon, which is responsible for specific mRNA codon recognition, and the 3' end, to which the tRNAs corresponding amino acid is attached (by aminoacyl-tRNA synthetases). tRNAs cope with the degeneracy of the genetic code in two manners: having more than one tRNA (with a specific anti-codon) for a particular amino acid; and 'wobble' base-pairing, i.e. permitting non-standard base-pairing at the 3rd anti-codon position. RNAcentral also lists the same sequence under 7 other names. The record is from RNAcentral. Lineage: Bacteria; Pseudomonadati; Pseudomonadota; Alphaproteobacteria; Hyphomicrobiales; Phyllobacteriaceae.